CAACCCUGUGAACAUACCUAUAACGUUGCCUCGGCGGGAACAGACGGCCCCGUAACACGGGCCGCCCCCGCCAGAGGACCCCCUAACUCUGUUUCUAUAAUGUUUCUUCUGAGUAAACAAGCAAAUAAAUUAAAACUUUCAACAACGGAUCUCUUGGCUCUGGCAUCGAUGAAGAACGCAGCGAAAUGCGAUAAGUAAUGUGAAUUGCAGAAUUCAGUGAAUCAUCGAAUCUUUGAACGCACAUUGCGCCCGCCAGUAUUCUGGCGGGCAUGCCUGUUCGAGCGUCAUUACAACCCUCAGGCCCCCGGGCCUGGCGUUGGGGAUCGGCGGAAGCCCCCUGCGGGCACAACGCCGUCCCCCAAAUACAGUGGCGGUCCCGCCGCAGCUUCCAUUGCGUAGUAGCUAACACCUCGCAACUGGAGAGCGGCGCGGCCACGCCGUAAAACACCCAACUUCUGAAUGUUGACCUCGAAUCAGGUAGGAAUACCCGCUGAACUUAAGCAUA
Molecule: ribosomal RNA, 505 nt
Filed under: Fusarium solani
Lineage: Eukaryota; Fungi; Ascomycota; Sordariomycetes; Hypocreales; Nectriaceae
Description: eukaryotic LSU rRNA
Rfam family: 5.8S ribosomal RNA (bases 134-287)
Source: RNAcentral